This 501-nucleotide ribosomal RNA is filed under the name uncultured Actinomycetes bacterium. Its description in RNAcentral is "bacterial SSU rRNA". It matches the Rfam family "Bacterial small subunit ribosomal RNA", at positions 8 to 524 of the family's 1533-position model. Lineage: Bacteria; Bacillati; Actinomycetota; Actinomycetes. The record is from RNAcentral.
AGAGUUUGAUCCUGGCUCAGGACGAACGCUGGCGGCGUGCUUUACACAUGCAAGUCGAACGAGAACCUUCCUUCGGGAAGCAGAGAGUGGCGAACGGGUGAGUAACACGUGGGCAACCUACCCCUCACACUGGGAUAACCUCGGGAAACCGGGGCUAAUACCGGAUAUUCACGACCUCGGGCAUCCGAGGACGUGGAAAGGAUUCUGGUGAGGGAUGGGCCCGCGGCCUAUCAGUUUGUUGGUGGGGUAAUGGCCUACCAAGACGACGACGGGUAGCCGGCCUGAGAGGGCGACCGGCCACACUGGGACUGAGACACGGCCCAGACUCCUACGGGAGGCUGCAGUGGGGAAUAUUGCGCAAUGGACGAAAGUCUGACGCAGCAACGCCGCGUGAGGGAUGAAGUACAUCGAGAUGUAAACCUCUUUCAGCAGGGACGAAGCGAAAGUGACGGUACCUGCAGAAGAAGCGCCGGCUAACUACGUGCCAGCAGCCGCGGUAAU